RNAcentral lists this long non-coding RNA (1918 nucleotides) under Homo sapiens (human). RNAcentral describes it as "HSALNT0129338". The record is from RNAcentral. Lineage: Eukaryota; Metazoa; Chordata; Mammalia; Primates; Hominidae.
AAAGACUUUAAGGACAAAUUCCAAAUGACAUCAACAAAUAUGGGAGUCAAAGACUCCCAUAAAGCAAGAAGUUUUUUGUCUUCCAGCAGAUAACAGCAAAGUGUUAAUGUUAGCAUUGGCGAAAUACCUUCUGUCACUGUCAGCUGCCUCGGUUUUCUGUUACCCCUAAAUGCCAUUCGUGGUUUUAUAUUCUACCAAGCGUGCCUCUGUUUACAUAAUUAACAACUUCUGCAGUGGUUAAUGGAUGAGGAGAAAACUCUCUAAGGAGGCGAUCUUAAUUCAACCCACGUCUCCUACAGGAAGACACACGCUUCUAUGCAAAGCGUAGACAUGACAUGAUGGGGGAUUUACACACGGCCUUUAUAGAGUAAUUUACUAGCAAACUUGGGUGUAUAUUAUUGUAAACUGCUGUAUACCGUGUGAUUACAAGAUUAAGAAAGAAGGAGUGAAUUGCUAAUCUUGUCAGUCCAACUGUUUUCUUUCUUGAUAACAUUUGCGUUAUUACACUUUGGGUGAUGAAAGACUGUAAUUGGCUGUUGACACUGAUUGAAGGAAGGAGACGUGGCUUUUUCAAAAAAGAGAAUUAAUUAGCUUGGUGAGGGGGGUAACAAUUCAAUCUACAGCUCUCACAGCUGCAAAACAGAAGUGAACUGUCAAAGAGUGUUUUCAUCUCUUUCUUUCCCACCUGCUUUUCUCCUUUUGAUGACAUCUUUUCCUAGAUUUAACACAUUUAAAAUGGGCUCACCAAAGAAAGAGGUGUGUGGGGUGGAGGGAGCUGAGGAGCCUUCAGAGGAAAAACAGAGAAUGUAGCUUUCAGGAUUCACAGCAGAAAUACUGUAAAUGUGAGUGUGUUCCAUUUGCAUGUGUUUAAGCAAUGUUGAAGGAAGACGUCACAGACAGAUGAAGCUCAGCUAAAUCUCUUUAUGCCACUCAAGUUGUUUUAAACCAGUAACGAACACCUGAGACCUCGUUGCUUGUCUGGCAGUCGGACAAGGAUAAUCUAGGUACUCGAGGUUUGGAAGGCAGAAGUGAAGCAGAAGGCAGAAGUGAAGCAGAAGGCAUCAGAUUGUUCCUCUGGCAAGUGGGCUUUUGCAGAUGUGCCAUUUUACAGUGGCUUCCACUUGUUUUCCUUGACAACUUCCUUGAGUGACUGACCCAGCCCCAAUGUGCCUAUCUCCUGUGAAAAAUAAACCAUCAGAUUGGGACUGGUUUGAGUUUCCAUUACAUGCAAUUAAACAUAAUCCUGAUAAAAUCUGCAUAAAAGAGAUGACAGCUAGUUUUCAUUUUCUGAGAAAAUUACGCAUGCAAACACAUCUGUAGAGACUAAUGUUUUCUAGAACUAAAAACUGAGCCAUAAUAUAGCAUUGAUCCUUUUUUGAGCGGGGGAUGUUAGGCAAUCCGGUGGAUAAUGGCUAAAGUAUUAAGCUCCAUUUGUGUCAAAGAUACUGAAUCAUUGAAAAUGAAAACUCAUGUAAUGAUCCUUGUAUAAUGGUUGAAGGUUUAUUAUCAAAGGAUAAUUCAGGGAUGGCAUUUAUCCAGGUAGGUGAGAAAAUAGAAUUUAAAUGUUUUCUGGGACAGAACUUGGAGAAACUGAAAGACCAGUUAAUAUAUAAAUUAAAUAUUCUGCAAAUUACACUUACUUAAGUAGCAUUGAUUGAUGUUUUGAUUCAAUUACCUUUUUCUAUUCUGUAUAUUUAUUAUUGCUGAUUAACCUGAAACUCAUAUGCUACAGAUACCAGAGAAAAUGGGUACAUUUUGAUGUGAACAUUUGAGAAGCAGAAUGGCUUCAGAGUCCUGUUUUGCUGCUAACUUCCUGGGUUUUAUUUUCUUCUUGCUGGUUGAUAUGGCUUGGCAAUGUGUUCUCACCCAAUCGCAUGUUUAAUCGUGAUUCCCAUAUGUCAGGGGAGGGACCUGGUGG